GACGAACGCUGGCGGCGUGCCUAAUACAUGCAAGUCGAACGCUUCUUUCCUCCCGAGUGCUUGCACUCAAUUGGAAAGAGGAGUGGCGGACGGGUGAGUAACACGUGGGUAACCUACCCAUCAGAGGGGGAUAACACUUGGAAACAGGUGCUAAUACCGCAUAACAGUUUAUGCCGCAUGGCAUAAGAGUGAAAGGCGCUUUCGGGUGUCGCUGAUGGAUGGACCCGCGGUGCAUUAGCUAGUUGGUGAGGUAACGGCUCACCAAGGCCACGAUGCAAAGCCGACCUGAGAGGGGGAUCGGCCACACGGGGACUGAGACACGGCCCAGACUCCUACGGGAGGCAGCAGUAGGGAAUCUUCGGCAAUGGACGGAAGUCUGACCGAGCAACGCCGCGUGAGUGAAGAAGGUUUUCGGAUCGUAAAACUCUGUUGUUAGAGAAGAACAAGGACGUUAGUAACUGAACGUCCCCUGACGGUAUCUAACCAGAAAGCCACGGCUAACUACGUGCCAGCAGCCGCCGUAA
This 524-nucleotide ribosomal RNA is filed under the name uncultured bacterium. RNAcentral's name for it is "partial 16S ribosomal RNA". It matches the Rfam family "Bacterial small subunit ribosomal RNA", at positions 28 to 523 of the family's 1533-position model. The record is from RNAcentral.